CAAAGGACACAAAGACCUGCUUCUCAUAGACCUGUAAGGGUUGGUGUUUCACCAUGCUCCUUCAGCCACAACGCGCCACCAGUCUGUUAACAUCCCACACAGGACUGGGAACCCUGGAGAAGAUCGCAGUUCCCGGUCCUUGUUAGCUGUGACAACACCUGCGAGAGGAAGUCAACACGCUAUUGGACAGUGAGUCAUGUCUGGGAAAGACGUAAUGACAUGCAGCAUGGCUCUAUGGAUGGAAAUGGCGUUGCACCACUUUGGUCCGGACUGAAAAACCUCGACGACCUCUGGAUGGAUCCUUAAGACAAUUUUGUACGGACAUUUUGCUGCCCAGAGAAGAAAUCCUGCUGUCCUUUUCCGCUUUUUGCUUUCACUUUUCAUCUGGCCACACCUUUGGGUCAAAGUUUCAAUUUGUCCGAUGCUUUGGUUUAUGACCGAAUACCUGUAAAACUGAAUCAGCAUCA
This is a long non-coding RNA of Acanthopagrus latus (yellowfin seabream), 467 nucleotides long. RefSeq lists it as uncharacterized. The record is from RefSeq and is a predicted model, not a curated record. The transcript has 3 exons. Lineage: Eukaryota; Metazoa; Chordata; Actinopteri; Spariformes; Sparidae.